GGGGGGGGAGAGCUCAAGGGGUGGUAAUGUGUUGCUGGAUUUAAGUGGGGAGGGAAGCCGGCGAGGGCAGGUGAGAGGCAGCGAGAGACGCCUCUGACCUAUUUUGAAAGAGUUGGGAUGCUGCCUGGACCCCACGAGCAGCGCCCUCUGCUGGCGCGAAAUAACUACUACACCAGGAGGCCAGAGGCCCGUCCAGGUGUUCUCAUUCCUCACUAGAAAGUCAGCUUUUUACAAAUCACUCGCGUCUGAUCGGCUCAUGCAUCACUUUGCCCCCGUUGACGACAGCUGUCGGGGGGGGAUUUUGGUCCUCGGGCCCCCAAAAACAGACGAGCUGCUGAUGACUGUGACUGCAGGAAGCGGCUGAGCGGCGCCCGAGAUCUCACUUUCUCCUGGAAGAAAAAGUACAGAUUAUGUCACCGUCGACACCUUGAUUCUGCCGAACUGCAUGUGCUGAUACGAGGCUGGUGUGUUUCAUGGAGCCGCGUCGCACCCACGAGUGUGAGAGCGCAUCAAGCAACUGUGUGUGUCCGCGUGUUGUCGUGCGCUCGCUUGCCUGCACGGGAGUGUGAGGGUGUGAAGCUGCAGUAUCUCGAACUCUCGUUUCUUUUUAUUGAUGUCUGCUUACAAAUGAACUUAAACGCUUUUAAGUCGCCUUUAAUCAAGCUGACAGAAAUGAAUCAGACCGCAUGUGAAUAACGUGAGAAAACACCUUCAGCAACUUUAUUCAUACCAUAGAGUUUUACUCAUUAUAAUGACGUGUGUGUGUGUGUGUGUGUUAUGUGCAGGUACUGAGGCCAGGUGUGCAGUGGGGUUACGCCAUGGAUCACACAUCCAGGCUCUCUGCUCCGGGACAGAAGGCCGUCAAGGAGCCUCCCAUCGUUGCCGGCGUUCGUCGGGCACGUUGACGCUGAUUGCCCGCUUAACUGCUACAUGCCGGGGUUAAUGGCGAUUGAUUGGUUGCUGUUAAUCGCUGUGUUGGGUUUUUUUUUUGUUUUUUUUGGGGGGGUUGAUUACCUGGCAGGGUCGCAUUGAUCACUCAUUAAUCAGCGUGUCGUCGCCGCUUCUUCCGCCGUGGCUGUGAGCUCGCUGUCAUUUAGCGCUUCGCUGGUGCAAUAUUGUCACGAUGGCGCCCCGGGUGACAAAUGUCUGCUGUGUUACGGAGUCACUGGUCGGUCGGCCAAACGCCGCAUUCACAUGGAGUCUAAACUGGGGAGGACGUGGAGGCGCUGCAGAGUCCAACUUCCUCUGUCAACACACAUCCCUAUAAUAUGAAGAAUAAGAGCCGCUAAGCAGACCCACACAGAACUCUGCUUCUUCUUGUUCUUGGUACCCAGCAAAAGGAGAGACCACGUCCUGCUUUGAUCCGGAAAAGGGGUCCAACAGGGCCCCCGAAACAGAAGACAGGCCCACCAGAUGUGUCCUCCCUCAUACUCACUAUGUUUCAUUUCAAAACGUGGUCCACGUGAGCUCAGCGUGGUGAUGCUCCAUGGAUUCUUUCCUCACUUCUCCACCGGAAUCAGGUCCGCGGUCGUGUCGGGUCAGGGGAUGGUGCAACUUUAAAAUAGAAGUUUACUCUCCCCUCUCCCCCUUUCUCUCCCUGCCUCUCCCUCCGUGUCAUUCCUAUCGGUGCCUUUCCUCGACCCUCCAUUAGAAACCUUGUCUAAGGCAAUGAGUUUAAAGUCAGGGUGCCUGUCUCUGCUUUGGGAAUAGAAACAGCGUGUGCGUGCGUGCAUGCGUGUGUGCGUGUGUGUGUGUGUGUUACUGCGCACCCAGGAAUUUGAGAAUAAUUCCAUGUGCUUGUGUGCAGGCGCUCGGGCUUUGAGGUACGCUUUGACAGCUGCAAAUUUAAUAAGCAAACGUUAAAGGUUGGAGGGAGAGAUGGAGGAGGGGGGGGGGGGGAUAUGCAAAGGGCUCUGCUUAUGAAAUAUGAAUGACUGUUUCUGCAUCAUCUGCAGCGGGCUUGAUAUCGUCUCUGGUCGGCAAUUCCCCCGCUGGCCCUGAGCGGGAUGCACAGGCCAGCAGCCUCGUGAGAUGAGGAGGAUACUCGGGCCGCGUGAAGCUGCCUUUCUUCAACUCGUCAAGUUUUAGCGGGCGCCGCGUCACGUCUCCACCUAAAGCGAUAUUUCUCUUUGGUGGAAGGCCUUUUUUUCACGUUUUAGCAUGCGCGCGCCGGAGCGGCUGCAUGAGCAGUCGGUCGCCAAUACUAAGUGACUCCGCUCUGCUAAAUCGAUGUCGCGCACUUUGUCUCAGUUUGGUAGCCAGCGAACUAAAGCAAAGUCGGUCGGAAGAUGUGCUGCACCGCAAGUUUUUAGUUGUUUAUUAACCAGUCGAAAAAAGAACAGGAAAUUGACCCAUUUGUGAAUAAGAAUCAAAGUGUGGAGAGAAUAACUAAAUCUACAGCGUGAUACUUUUUGCGUCUAAUAGCCGGCACAUAUUUCACUCAUUUGUAUGAAUGCGCAACUCUUUGCAGAUGUUCGGUGUAUUUUAUAAUAUAUCCUAUCUGGUUUGUGGUCUUCUGGAUCACUUUCAUGAGCAUUUCUGUCGGUCAGUUUAAAAAAAUCAAAAAAUGUGGUUAUAAUCCAAAUCGCAGGGGCUUAUGAACAAAGUGCUCAUCAGGUUGAUCUAGAAUAGGGCCCGGCAUUGUGUUUUAUCUGACUCUAAAACAUGCAUCAAUGUGUACAUUUAAGUAUUAUUCCUGGUCAGGCUGGAAAUAUUUGCUUAUGGAAAACAUUUUUAAACCCAUUUUUAGCAUAAACCUUUCUGAAAUUGUUGUGUAAAUCGUCAUUUAGAUGCAGAAGACAUUCAUGUAGUCUGCUACGGUCUGUGGGAUAUGAUAAUCAGGAUUGUGGGUUUACAAAGAAACCAAAUCUUUUCCUGAAUAUGUUUCUGAACGGGUCCCUAAAAUGAAUGAAAAGUUUUAGUUUGCAGUAAAACAAGACGAUAGAUAGUCAAAGCAACAUACCAACGGAGCAAAAACAUACAUUUCAAACACGUUCAGGAGAGUCAUGCAGUUCAAACCGUAACCAAACCACAGAAGUAAAACACGUAAAUCCGCUCCGAUCACAUGGGAGGAAGCCGUCUUGAGAGCAGAUACAAUUAGCAUUAACUCAUGAAACAAACAGAGAGCUGACACAUUGUUGUACAAUGACAUCAUUUGUAUUAAGAGCCGGCGUGUUGUUUGUCUUCUCAGCUGGUGAAACAGCCAAAACUCUUUGCAUGAUUUUGCAGAAUGAAUAAUUCCGUCUCACAGUUGUCAAAAGCUUUGGGACCAGACAAAUGAUUGACAGUGUGGAAUUGGGUUAAAGUUUUUUUACACACACCGACUCGUAACAAAGAGGUCGGCAAACAAGGUCAUCGGGCAGUUCCCUCGUCCCACUCCUCUAUCCCGCAUUCCUGAUGCAUAUCGACCCCUUCGAACUUAACGUCAGUUUCCUUUUGUUCCAACAGAGGGGGGGGCGCCCGACCCCCACCCCCCUUUUUCUGAUGAUGAAAUGCGGAAGAAAUAAGUUCAGCUUCUGCGCCUGGUUGUGCAAAGAGAGGAGCCCUCCCUCGCCGUGUUCUCCCAGGUGCCGUGGUUCUCCAUACUGCUCAGUUUAACCCCUCCGUCCCUCUUCUUCAACCCUAAUUACACACUCGCACACAACACACACACACACACACACACGACUUUCUACAAGUUCCCCAGCGGCGGAGGACCGGCUGCAUGAUUGCACUGGGCUCGAUUAGGAAGAACCCGACGGGGGUUUACAGGCACAUGCAACGGCUCUCAUUAGCAGUCUCAGUCAGAUGAAGUGCAGAUGAAAAGAGGUUUCACCCCUGUGUGUGUGUGUGUGUGUGUGUGUGUGUGUGUGUGUGCGUGCGCUGUGCUGUUUUCCGUGAACUUGUAAUAUGCAUCACUGCACUGCUGAAACACACACACACACACACACACACACACACAGACACACACAGCAGAGCUUAUGGCAUUGUUUUUACCUGCUUUGUGGAAGGCGAGAGAGCAUUUGCAUCGGAGCCAGAGGAGGACACUUGUUUCCUCCAGAACGGCGUGCGCCUGCCAGCAGGGAUGAGUGAACGUUGUUUAAGUCUGUGUGAAUGAUUGCAGUAUCGCUGUUAACCAAUCUACAUAUUUCUUCAUUAUGUUUUUUUAUGUAGAUUUCCCGUUGCAGGGAUUCCUGGGUGGACAGAGGUGGUGGUGCUUCGUCUAUUUUCUUUAGCUAUAAAAUCUGCUGAUUAUUUUUCUCGCUGAAAGAAUUAUUUGUUUGAUGUAUUAAAUGUGACAGAAAUCCCAAUUUCUUAAAGCCAAGCUGAGAUGUAUUGCCCUUCGUGUGCAUGUCAGGCUCACAGGAAGGUGUCAUCUCCUUGAAAAAAAAAUAUUAUAUGAAAUAAAGCGCACAAAUCCUUCCGACUGAGAGGGAAAAUUUGCUUGAAUUAUUACACAGUUGAUAAAUCAUGAAAAUAUUUGGUGUUUCAUUUAUCUGAUCAGUAAUUGACUAAUUGGUUUCAGCGUGAAAGAGUUGCUCCCAAACUCCCAAGUACUACCCCAAAAAUACCCAAAAAGGUUUAUGAGUUUUUUGUCUGUGGCCACACGUCACAUCACGUCCGGCUACAUUCAAACAAUGUCGGAGGCGGAAAAGAGGCCGCGGACACCGUUAAAUGUCCCACAACAGAGAAAAUCCAAACAGAGGCGUGUGCCAGUGAUCACAUAGUGGUUUACAACCAUUAUGGACGUGGCCGAUUAUUAGAAGCCCCUUGUCCACAGCGACCUCUUCCCUCUGCAGACUCUCUGUGAUUACGUCCUCUGCUCCCGAUUGACGUUGGCAUUCAUGGUUCCCACAGCCGCUAGAAGCAUGUGUCCUUUUGGGUAUUUGCUGAAAUGAGGACGACCGACCGACCGACCGACCUCCCACCAAGUGUAGACGGUUUUAACACUUUAACACGCGGUGCUGUGAGAGUCUCCAGCAAGUUAGCAGGUCGCUAAAAGUGAUGAAUUCAGCUCCAGACGCUACGCAAAAUAUAAAAAAUCCACUGAAUCUGUUUAUCAAUGUUGAACAACUUCCUGUUUACUUCCUUUAUCAGUCCAGAAGAGCGGAUGGAAAGCAGCGAGGUGGUGUUGGUGAAGGGAACACAGGCCGAGAACAUGGCGAGCCCCCAUUGGACAUAUUUCUCUCCUCACGUUUCUUUCUCUUGCUUCCCCUUGGAGAAUCAGUGGAGAAGUGCUAAAAGCCACCGCGGUGUUGGCGGCUUGCACAGUGGCACAAAGUGGACCUCCACAACUGGCGCAGCUGUUGCUACGUGUCUUUUUUUAACGUGCGCUUUGGAUUCUUUGCAUUGAGUCUUUGUCUGCACAGUGGUGUUUUUUUGCACUUUUUUUUACCAUAGAAAUCUCAAAGAGGGUCAGUAGUGCUGUAAUUAGUGAUCUGUCGCGUUUCAGGGUUCGGGUCCCCUUUCAAGGCCCCGGUGGAUUUGGGUGGAAGGCGCUUGAUCUUCAAAUGUUCCUGUUAAACCAGUCAGAUUCCAGCCCCCACCUCAAAAACCUAUACCCACAUUUACACUUGGGCUUAUUGGAUGUGAACACGCGCCUGCGUGUAGCUUUCCUCUCGGCUCAGGCCACUGACUUUGAGUCCUUUUGAACAGGCAGUAACGCGAGGCAACCCACGACAGGCGGGACGACCCUUGAUCACCGCUAAUCAUCUAAGUGGACGUGAGGCCCCCCCCCCCCCCCCGAACCCGACGGAGCGCCGCGUCCGGGAGGCCCGCGUGGGUACCAGCCUUCAAACCCGGGAGGGGGAACAUGCUUUUGAGUGGGCGCGCUCCUUCGCCCGUUUGUGCGCUGCUGCCCCGCCGUGCGCGUCACGCUCGCAAUUGGAAGGCGCCGUCUCCUUGAACAUCAUUGAAAACGCGCAGCCGAGUUUGUCCAACCUGUCAAGCGCAAAAGGAGCCGCGGAGGAGCUCGCCUUUUAAUGAAGCCGAGGCCAUUUAAGAUUCAUGAAAGGGUUUUCAUCCCAACUACAAUGGACUGUCAUUACGCUUGAAUUCAAAAUGGUUGCGUCACCUUUUCUGAAAAUAUCUGCGCUUGGAUUGUGAAGACGAUGCGUUUAAUUCCCCGGUGAUUUGGAGAGUGGAGGUUUUUACGCGUGCGCAGAACUAUUACAGAACUUUUUUGAAUUUGUGACAUCAAAAAAUAAGGAAAACUUUUUACCAAAAAAAAGGCCGGCGCACAUUUACAUAAUGAAUCAAUGUUGCGUGGUCCUAAGUCAUGUCUGGUCACUGAAGUGCCUGAUAAAAAAAAUCCAGAGAUUAGGACAUAGAUGGUCAAAGUGUCCUUGGAAGUAUCGAUCACUGAUGGAGGGAGUCUGACAAUAACAUAAGAAGAAAUAGUGGCCCGGUUGGGCGUUUUCAUUCCUACUAUGAACACUUAGUGGGAUGCACGGCCGUUGAUGUGUUCUUGCUCCUUAAUUCUUGCCCAGGAGUUCCUCUUUUAACCGCGUGUUUGUGUUUACGCCGACAUUCGGCUGCGAUGCGGAAGGACUCGUCCGCACAUUUGCUCGUGUACCGAUCCGGUAGAGUUAUUACAGAACUUCUGGAGCACAUUGGCAAUGAAGCAUUGUUACAGAUGCGUGUGAAGGCAGCCGAGGAACGUGACGUGUAGAGAACAGGGAGGAGGAUGGAAACGUGUACUUCAAAUUUGACAUUGGAAGGUCAAGUGUCGUAUAAAGUGGUCGGUGUAUUUUUGAUACAGAUUAAACCUCCCACCAGUGUUCUCUGGGUCCACUUGACCUGAGGAUGGACAGGUUUUAGAUUCAGUUAUUCUUCACCUAUGGAUGUUUUUUCGUGUUAAAUGCAAACCUUGCAUUCUCUCGGUCCGCCCCAAAGCAAAUAACAGCCAUUGUGUCACUUUUCUUAAGCAGUAUACGUCCUUGCAUUAUCUGUCAGGCUGAUAUGUAGAUAGAUAAAUAAUUUCUGAGUGCCUUUGCCCCCAAGAUGUACCGAGGAGAGAGCAGUACAAACAGAAACGCUGCGGGGCGCCUUAUGUUUGUGCACAAGGAUGGCAAAGACUAUAUGGUUACGGCAUCGUCAUCACGGACCUUCCAUCUGUCGUUCUUUGGGGAAACGGGGCGCUAGCUGUGCUUCAAGCCCAGAGUUUGAGUUACAGCAGUGCGAAGAUCCUCAUGCUGGCGGGUGGAUCAGAACCAGAGCCCUGUCUAAAGAAUAGCAGGAGUGCCCCCCCCCCCCUUCUUAUAUUGUAAUACGAAAUAAAUAGAUCCAAGCUAGAAAGUGUUCAGGAUCCCCUUUUUUUUCUUUUAAAAUACUCCAGUUCAAAAUCCAGCCGGUCUCGCUUUCCACUAAAUAGAAGUGCUACAGUAUGCGUGUGCAAUCCCACCGUUGUGCAGAUUAAUGUUUGCAAGCUACAUUGUGCGUAGAAGGAAGGGAAAAGCAAGUGAGAGAUGGAGGGAGAGCGAUGCAGCUCAUGAAAAAACAACACUAUCAAACGAGGGCUUCAAAGACUAUCAGCCGCGUCUCCUGGGUAAUUUGCAAUCCUGCAUUCUCUCGACUUCAAAGGGCCGCUGUGUGUUGGAAUACUGCAAGUGGGAGAGUGAGCAGAGGGGGUUUGGGGAGGGUUGGUGG
This is a long non-coding RNA of Gasterosteus aculeatus aculeatus (three-spined stickleback), 7626 nucleotides long. The record is from Ensembl. NCBI's taxonomy places the organism in Eukaryota, Metazoa, Chordata, Actinopteri, Perciformes, Gasterosteidae.